UGAUUUUAAGAAAAAAGUAUACAACGAACCUUGUUUGUUAAAGGCCAUUUUCAUCUCCCUCAUUGGCAGACUAAGGUUCCCCAGAGCUGUCCCAGGAUAGGAAGGUCCUUGGCAAUAAUAUCCCAAUUGACAGAAACAAAGAGUGGACCACAGAAAUGGAACAGGACUUAACAAGAAUGAUGAAUAGUCACCAUUCAUUCAUUCAUUAUUUGAUUCAGAAAAUGGUCUUGCACAGAAGCAGCGAACACCUCGCCGAAGAUGUCAGGAGCCCAAAAUGUUGAGUAGCCCUGAGGACACCAUGUACUAUAACCAGUUAAAUGGAACUCUAGAAUAUCAAGGGAGCAAGAGGAAGCCAAGAAAACUUGGCCAAAUCAAAGUGCUUGAUGGGGAAGAUGAAUAUUACAAAUCUCUGUCACCUGUGGACUGUAUCCCUGAGGAAGACAACUCAGUCCACCCUUUCUUUUUCUCUUCAUCUUCAAAAGGGGCAUCUUUUGCUCAACCCUGAGCUAUACCUUCUGCCUCCCAAGUCUGUUGAGGUAAAAAGAAAGGAAUGAAUUGGAAAGAAAAUUUGGACCCAUCAGAGUUCGUGUCACAUCAUUUUGUUACUGUCCAUUCCCUGGUUGACUGUCUCCAUGAGGCCAUGGGUAGCUGCAGAGGAAACAUCUUGUCUCGUCCAUCUUUGUGGCCACAGAGUCUAGCACAGUGCCCAGCACAGGAGGACAUGCCCACCCUUGAGUGAGUGGAGAGAUUUAGUUACACAGACAUAUCUGAAGUUACUUUCAAUUAUAUGUGAUUGAUCACUUUUCUUAUACCAUAAGCUCUGAUUUUUCAUUGAAGCUUGGACUAGUCCUGUUUAAUCAUACUAUAUCAUAUAUGACUCAGUGUGAUCCAAUGCAACAAACUCUUUUAAGUAGCUACUGUGCAAAACAAUAUGUGAGACUGCUGUGUGAUAUGAAAAUCUAACAAGACCCUUUCUCUAGAAAAGAUGUUCUUAAUAUUCUUUCUACUUUAAAAAAUAUUUGGCCGAUAGUAUACAUGGGAGUACCUAGAUUUUGAAAAAAAUAAACUUGAGGAAAUAGAAAAAAUAAUUGUUACCAAAGUUUUAAAGGGGAGAGUUCUAAUAAGCAUUUUACAAACACAAAUGAUGAAAUGAGGCAUUUAAAGAUCUCAGAAAUUGUAACAUUAAAAAAAAAGAAAUAGAGCCAAUUAUUCAAUAGUUAAAGUUUACUGUUUAAAAAAUGAGUCUUGAUCUUUUUUCCAGAUCUUCACCCUAAAUGUAUGUUCAUAAGGUAUGCAAAUAGAGCAGAAACACAAUGCAUUUUAUUUUAUUUUUUAAAAUAUAGUAUAUAGAAUAUAUAGAUUUUAACAUUAUUAUUAAUAUAAGUAGUUUUGGCAAUUUCACUUCCAUCAUUGAUUCAUCUACUUUUGAUUUGAUAAUGUUAGCUGUUCAAACUGUUGAAUAUAAAUGUUCAUAAUCUCCCAUUUGUGUACAAUUGUAUACACAGGCUUGUUUCUAAUUAAAAUAUAUCUAUAAAUAAAGUUUAAAAAGUAAUUAUAAAAUCAUAA
Non-coding RNA from Odocoileus virginianus texanus, 1566 nucleotides. The record is from RefSeq and is a predicted model, not a curated record. Lineage: Eukaryota; Metazoa; Chordata; Mammalia; Artiodactyla; Cervidae.